RNAcentral lists this ribosomal RNA (303 nucleotides) under uncultured bacterium. Its description in RNAcentral is "partial 16S ribosomal RNA". It matches the Rfam family "Bacterial small subunit ribosomal RNA", at positions 507 to 809 of the family's 1533-position model. The record is from RNAcentral.
AGCAGUAGCCGCGGUAAUACGGAGGAUCCAAGCGUUAUCCGGAAUUAUUGGGUUUAAAGGGUGCGUAGGCGGCAUGCUAAGUCAGGGGUGAAAGACGGUGGCUCAACCAUCGCAGUGCCUUUGAUACUGGUGUGCUUGAAUGUACAUGAGGUAGGCGGAAUGAGACAAGUAGCGGUGAAAUGCAUAGAUAUGUCUCAGAACACCAAUUGCGAAGGCAGCUUACUAAGGUAUGAUUGACGCUGAUGCACGAAAGCGUAGGGAUCAAACAGGAUUAGAUACCCCAGUAGUCCCUGUCUCUUAUAA